RNAcentral lists this ribosomal RNA (356 nucleotides) under Eudorylas posticus. Its description in RNAcentral is "partial 12S ribosomal RNA". The record is from RNAcentral. Lineage: Eukaryota; Metazoa; Arthropoda; Insecta; Diptera; Pipunculidae.
UAAAGUUUUAGAUGUAUAUAUUAAAGUAGUAUUAGUUAAGUUCUUGAAAUUUAAAAAAUUUGGCGGUAUUUUAGUCUAUUCAGAGGAACCUGUUUUUUUAUCGAUAUUCCACGAUGUAUCUUACUUAAAUUUGUUUAUAUAGUUUAUAUAUCGUUGUUUAUUAAAUAUUUUAUAAGAAUAAUAAUUUUUAUAAGGUUAUAUUUGAAAAAAUGUCAGAUCAAGAUGUAGCUAAUGUUUAAGGUUAUAAUGGGUUACAUUUAUAUUAAUAUUGGAUAUAAAUUUGUAAUAGUUUAUUGAAAUUGGAUUUGAUAGUAAAUUAAUAUAGAUAAAUUAAUUGAUUUUAGCUCUAAAAUAUG